GAUGAACGCUGGCGGCGUGCCUAAUACAUGCAAGUCGAGCGAACAGACGAGGAGCUUGCUCCUCUGACGUUAGCGGCGGACGGGUGAGUAACACGUGGAUAACCUACCUAUAAGACUGGGAUAACUUCGGGAAACCGGAGCUAAUACCGGAUAAUAUAUUGAACCGCAUGGUUCAAUAGUGAAAGACGGUUUUGCUGUCACUUAUAGAUGGAUCCGCGCCGCAUUAGCUAGUUGGUAAGGUAACGGCUUACCAAGGCAACGAUGCGUAGCCGACCUGAGAGGGUGAUCGGCCACACUGGAGCUGAGACACGGUCCAGACUCCUACGGGAGGCAGCAGUAGGGAAUCUUCCGCAAUGGGCGAAAGCCUGACGGAGCAACGCCGCGUGAGUGAUGAAGGUCUUCGGAUCGUAAAACUAUGUUAUUAGGGAAGAACAAAUGUGUAAGUAACUAUGCACGUCUUGACGGUACCUAAUCAGAAAGCCACGGCUAACUACGUG
RNAcentral lists this ribosomal RNA (497 nucleotides) under uncultured bacterium. Its description in RNAcentral is "partial 16S ribosomal RNA". It matches the Rfam family "Bacterial small subunit ribosomal RNA", at positions 28 to 507 of the family's 1533-position model. The record is from RNAcentral.